AAUGGCCGCGGUAAUUUGACCGUGCAAAGGUAGCAUAAUAAUUAGUCUUUUAAUUGAAGGCUUGAAUGAAAGAUUGGAUGAAAAAUAAACUUUAUUAAUAUAAAUUAUUUAACUUAUCAUUUAAGUAAAAAUUCUUAAAUAUAUAAGUGGGACGAGAAGACCCUAUAGAGUUUUAUUUUUAUUUAUAUUAUUAAAUUAGAGAAUUAUUAUUUUUAUAAUAUAAAUAAAUUUUUUAUUGGGGUGAUAUUAAAAAUUAAAAAACUUUUAAUUAAUAUUUCAUUAAUAUAUGUAUUUUGAUCCAAAAAUAUUUUGAUUAUAAGAUUUAAUUACCUUAGGGAUAACAGCGUUAUUAAUUUGAAGAGCUCUAAUCGAUAAAUUAGUUUGCGACCUCGAUGUUGGAUUAAGAAUAAAUUUUGAAGUAGCAUUUAAAAUUAUAGGUCUGUUCGACCAUUAAAUUCUUACG
RNAcentral lists this ribosomal RNA (463 nucleotides) under Platypleura cf. pinheyi MHV-2009. RNAcentral describes it as "partial 16S large subunit ribosomal RNA". The stretch from base 337 to 463 matches the Rfam family "Archaeal large subunit ribosomal RNA", at positions 2542 to 2669 of the family's 2987-position model. The record is from RNAcentral. Lineage: Eukaryota; Metazoa; Arthropoda; Insecta; Hemiptera; Cicadidae.